GAAACAUCUCAGGGCUGCCAUCCAGCUGCUGGAGCUUUAGAUUUAGCCCAGUCGCUGUCUGCCGCAGAAGAGGAUGUUCACAAAGGCUUCUUUCCUGCGCUCGCCUGCUGCUCAGGCUGUGUGCUGGGAACUAAAGAAGCAGAAACAGACACAGACUGCCCCUGCUCCAGCAAUACAAUGUAUAACCUGGCAGAGAAGACAAAGGAUCCUCAAGAAAACACUAAAUGGAUAGCUACAAACUGACGUGGAUUAAAAAUCCUUGCUUUUGAUGGAGACUUUACCUCUUUUAUGUUUACAUGGAUAGAGCUGGAACAUAUUCUUCUUAGCAAAGUAUCUCAAGAAUGGAAGAAAAAGUAUCCAAUGUACUCAGCCCUACUAUGAAACCAGUUUAUAGCUUUCAUAUGAAACCCAUAACCCAAUUAUAGCCCAAGAAUUUGG
Long non-coding RNA from Nycticebus coucang (slow loris), 438 nucleotides. RefSeq lists it as uncharacterized. NCBI's taxonomy places the organism in Eukaryota, Metazoa, Chordata, Mammalia, Primates, Lorisidae. The transcript is spliced from 3 exons. The record is from RefSeq and is a predicted model, not a curated record.